This 439-nucleotide ribosomal RNA is filed under the name uncultured bacterium. RNAcentral describes it as "partial 16S ribosomal RNA". It matches the Rfam family "Bacterial small subunit ribosomal RNA", at positions 339 to 795 of the family's 1533-position model. The record is from RNAcentral.
CUACGGGUCGCUGCAGUGGGGAAUAUUGCACAAUGGAGGGAACUCUGAUGCAGCAACGCCGCGUGGAGGAUGACGCAUUUCGGUGUGUAAACUCCUUUUAUAUAGGAAGAUAAUGACGGUACUAUAUGAAUAAGCACCGGCUAACUCCGUGCCAGCAGCCGCGGUAAUAAGGAGGGUGCAAGCGUUACUCGGAAUCACUGGGCGUAAAGCGCAUGCAGGCGGUUAAAUAAGUUGGAAGUGAAAUCCUAUGGCUCAACCAUAGAACUGCUUCCAAAACUGUUUAACUAGAGUCUGGGAGGGGAAGAUGGAAUUAGUAGUGUAGGGGUAAAAUCCGUAGAGAUUACUAGGAAUACCAAAAGCGAAGGCGAUCUUCUGGAACAGUACUGACGCUGAGAUGCGAAAGCGUGGGGAGCAAACAGGAUUAGAUACCCGAGUAGUC